Molecule: ribosomal RNA, 253 nt
Filed under: uncultured bacterium
Lineage: Bacteria
Description: partial 16S ribosomal RNA
Rfam family: Bacterial small subunit ribosomal RNA
Source: RNAcentral
UACAGAGGUCUCAAUCGUUGUUCGGAUUCAUUGGGCGUAAAGGGUGCGUAGGCGGUCGCGCAAGUCGGAUGUGAAAUCUCAGGGCUCAACCCUGAAACUGCAUUCGAUACUGCGUGGCUAGAGUGCUGGAGAGGAGACUGGAAUUUACGGUGUAGCAGUGAAAUGCGUAGAUAUCGUAAGGAAGACCAGUGGCGAAGGCGAGUCUCUGGACAGCAACUGACGCUGAGGCACGAAGGCCAGGGGAGCAAACGGG